This 352-nucleotide ribosomal RNA is filed under the name uncultured bacterium. RNAcentral's name for it is "bacterial SSU rRNA". It matches the Rfam family "Bacterial small subunit ribosomal RNA", at positions 9 to 350 of the family's 1533-position model. The record is from RNAcentral.
AAGUUUGAUCAUGGCUCAAGAUGAACGCUAGCUACAGGCUUAACACAUGCAAGUCGAGGGGAAACGACAUCGAAAGCUUGCUUUUGAUGGGCGUCGACCGGCGCACGGGUGAGUAACGCGUAUCCAACCUGCCCACCACUUGGGGAUAACCUUGCGAAAGUAAGACUAAUACCCAAUGAUAUCUCUAGAAGACAUCUGAAAGAGAUUAAAGAUUUAUCGGUGAUGGAUGGGGAUGCGUCUGAUUAGCUUGUUGGCGGGGUAACGGCCACCAAGGCUACGAUCAGUAGGGGUUCUGAGAGGAAGGUCCCCCCANAUUGGAACUGAGACACGGUCCAAACUCCUACGGGAGGCA